RNAcentral lists this ribosomal RNA (253 nucleotides) under uncultured bacterium. RNAcentral's name for it is "partial 16S ribosomal RNA". It matches the Rfam family "Bacterial small subunit ribosomal RNA", at positions 524 to 776 of the family's 1533-position model. The record is from RNAcentral.
GACAGAGGGUGCAAACGUUGUUCGGAAUUACUGGGCGUAAAGCGUAGGUAGGCGGUCUACCAAGUCAGGGGUGAAAUCCCGAGGCUCAACCUCGGAAUUGCCUUUGAAACUGGUAGGCUAGAGAAUGUUAGAGGCAAGUGGAAUUCCUAGUGUAGGAGUGAAAUCCGUAGAUAUUAGGAGGAACAUCAAUGGCGAAGGCAGCUUGCUGGGACAUUACUGACGCUGAGCUACGAAAGCGUGGGGAGCAAACAGG